ACAGCUGAGCCUGCUGCGGUUGCUGCUGACUUCAAAGGCACUGCUUCCCUUGGAUCCACAUCAAGGACUGGAAUGAGAAAAGGGUCCCCUGACCUUCUUAUAUCACCUCGCCUAAGUGUCCCCAGCGGUGCUCUGCAGAGCAGAGGCCCCAGCCUGCCUCUGAAUUGCCAGCUUCUACCACCAAGCCUGGAAGAACUUCAGGGACCAAGAACCUUAACUCCAAAUGGAACACAGGCCACAAAAAUUCCUCAAAUAUGUACACCAAAACAAAAGGGUCCCCGGGGAUUCACUUUAUCUUACCAAGUUUCAGCUGAAGGGGAAGCAUUCUAAUGGCAAGUAAGAAAAGCUGUCAGAGAACUGUUUUGUUCAACAUCAAAUGCAUUCCAGGCCUUAUUUAAUCAGGGAGCCCUCUUCACAGCUGAUGCAGAGGUUGUUCCUGCAAAUUGUUCCUGAGUCAGGGAGAGGAGCCUUGAUUUUCAAUGCAAAAUAAUGUUCUUUUGGCACAGGCAAAGUUGGUUGGCAGCUGGAGGUUUGGGGUGACCUCUGACCCUCUCCCACAGUUCCUCCCAAGUCCCACUGCACAAAACUAAGCCACCCUCAAAUCCCAGGCUCUAAUUGGCUCUUUGGUUUGUUUUGCUUUUCUCUUCUAUCCAGAGCUUCAAAAGGCACUUCGAUAAUUGUUUGAGGCAUGAAAAAGGCAGGUUUCAGCUUUCCUAACUGGAAUGGAGGUAAUUACUGUCUUCCACACACGAGCCGGUACAUGCUUGAAAUCAGAUGGCUCUGGGUUGUUUUAGAAAGUGUAGCUGGGCCUCUGAGCCAGGAGAGGGAGGAUUAUGGAGCCUUCCAGCGGCUCCAUUCCAGAGAGGGAGGAAUUCAGACAUCCCAGAAACGGUGAGGGUAACUUCCAUAUUUUUUUUGCAGUCUCUUCAAUUCUGCCCAAGAGAUUUGGCCUGAAAAGAUUGUGCCUUCAACCUCAUCCUGGAAAUUCAGGUAGCAUUUUUCGGUUUUCUCUCUCAGGAGACAGAAGCUGACACCCCACAUGACUCCCAUCUUGUCUGUAAUCAGCAACCAGGGCUUUGACCUGCACUGUCCUCCUUUCCAGCAGCAGAAAGGGGUCAAACUGAGCCAGGUCUAGUAAGAGCUAUCUCAGAGAACCAGAACACGGAUUUGCUUUUGUUCUCUCAGGACAGCAAACCCAAGGGAGGGCAGACUCAGGCUCACAUCCCACUCACACGGCCCUGAGUGUGGACUGGGAGCAAGACGCUGCUUCAAAUUUCAGCCUGCCAGCUGUGUGUCCACAGGCAGCUAACAAACAUCUCUCAUCCAGCCACAGCCUCACCCAGAGAAGAGUAACCGACCCAACCUUAUAGCGUUGCUGUGAAGUCAGUUAACAUAGGGCUGAAGUUUGCUGUGAAGUCACAGCAACCCUAUGUUAUGGUUAACUUCAUUUAACAUAGGGUUAAUGUAGGUUUAAUAUGAGGGGCUAACAAUUACAUAUAAAUGUUAGCUACUGUAAUUGUCAGAUGCAUGGCCACUGGUGCCAAAGGAACCACUCUGAAAAUUCUGGAGGUUUUCAAGACUCUGGGGAUUCAGAAAUGGAGGAAGAAAAGAAGCUGCUGCAGGAACAGUGCAGGGAAGCUAGAAGGGAACAGGGUGGCAGCCCCAGCUCAAAAGGUCUUCCCUCUCAAGGGCACCACCUGAAACGUAUAAGGUUGCCUGAAAUUCCACAGAUUAGACAUUUAGUUUUGCUUCUUUACAACAAUAUAUCUCAAAGAGAACUGGCUGGUUAAACAUUAUUCAUACAUCUGUGUGAACUGGUUUAUUUGCUCUCUUCCUAAUACCUACACACUUAGAAACUCCAGGGAGCAAAGAGCUUGGGUCUGAGUUAGGGACUAGGAAAGGAACAGAAAGUAAUAACUUAGAGUCAUGAAGCACUGUCCAAGACAUGGCCAGCUGUUCAGACUCUGAGAGCCCCAGUUCAAUUCACUGGCUGGCCUGCAGACAGCCUGCCUGGCUCAUGAGAAGGGAGGAGUGGGGAGUCAGGACCUGGAGGUCCUGAGGUGCUUUUCUGAUGUUGGUACUUUCACGUUGCCCACUCAUAAAAUACCCUUUGUAAAUGGCUUCUGGGACUCCCUCCUCUCUGGGAGUGCCUCCUUCGUGAGCUCUGCAUAUGGGUGGCCCAGAGAGCAGGCCCCAGCUGUUGCCUCUCCUCAGACAUUCCAUCCCUAUGACCUCAUCCAGGUGCGGGCUUGAGUCACCACUCCACUACAGACUCUCUUGAUUUGGAUAUUCAGUUGCCUACUUGACAUCUCCCUUUCAAGUACCUCAAACAAAACGCUCCAUGUGCCCUUACCCCUACCCCCUGCCACCCAAAACAAUCCAAACAAAAACUCCAUCAGCCUGGUCUCCAUGGACAUGUUCUUGAUGCAGUCAACCUUUCAGGACUAUUGACGUUUCUCUUUGUACCUUGUACUUUUCUUUCACAGCCCUUAGGACAAUGUAUAAUCACUUACUUAUUUUCAUAUUGACUUGUGUAAUACCUGUUUCCCAAUAGACUGUAAAAUUCAUGAGAAUGAGACCAGGUGGUUUGUCUCCUGUUCUUCCCCACACCCUAACUGGCACACAGUAGGUCCUCACUAUGUAUUUGUUGAAUGGAUAGUAUUAAAGUGAAGAUGGGUCCUAGGGUGAGGAAGAGUUUCUGGGCACAAAGAAAGGCCAUGAAACCUGGCAAAAAAUACAUAUGAGCUCAUAUCUUGUUUUCCUGAGGAGCUAUUUGGUUUCUUCCUCCUCCUAUUUGAUGAAGUUAUAUGUUUAAUUAAAGCCCUGAACAGUUAGAACAAAUGUAUAGGAAAUGAUCACAUGAUCAUGAACUUAGCAAACAGCUACAAGCUUAACUGUCUAAUAUGGGGAGUGCCUAAAUGAUAUGUAUCAAUAUGGUUGACUCUCAGUUAUCCAUUCCAGUGGAUAAUCUAAUAGCCAGUAAUCUAAUAGUUCAUAAUUUACUUGCCUAUAAUCCCAUAAGUUUUACAUGUGGCUUUGGAUUAUGUUUUGGAAUUUGCACCAGGGUAUGGGGGCUCUGAUGGUUUAGGAAUUCACAGUACUUUGAGCAUAUAUGUCCUAUGUCACUACCCCAGUUGCCCAUUAAGGAUUCCUCUGGGUUCCAACUGCAUGUGGAAAAAAUACUGCAUUGUGCUUAGGAGGAAAGUGCAUUGGUCUUUGUUUGUUUGUUUGUUUGUUUUGUUUUGGCUGUAAAAAUUGGGGUCCAAACCCCAGCUCUUGCAUUUACUAACUAGCUCUGUUUUCACACUACUUGUCCCCGUCUAAACCACUCCCUCAGGCAGGUGCAAAACAAGGCGAAAGCAGAGUUAAGCUCCUUAUGAACUUUCUGUUUUACAUCUAGGCAAAGAAACGUUCUCUCUUCUCCUUUUUUUCUCUUUUUCUUUCUGCCUUAGAAGACCUUCUCUUCCAGCUCAGUGGGAUGAAGUCAACAAGGUCUUUGCUUUACAAAAUCAUGCCUGAUUGGGAAAGAUCCUGAAAAUGUCUAGACAAAUCUGAAAGAAAAAUGCUGUCCUGGGCAAUCUAAUACAGAAAACUGACUCUGGGCUUUCCCUGGGCUCCACUGGUCCCACCAAUGGUGCAAAUGACGGUGACUUUCUCCACGUUCUACAUACAUCUGGGCAUUUGCUCAUGCUGUCUUGGGUCAAAGUCUCAAGUUGGAAAAUGGAUUCAUCCUGAGAUCCAAGGCAGAACCAGUCGUGUUGUCAGUGGGUAGCUGAGACCCCAAAAUUCCCACCUCUUUUCCUGUCAUGAAGUUUCUAUCUCGAGAGAAAACAGCUGUCCAUUCUUAGGCCAACUGGGACUGAAGCCAGCUGUUCCUUCCAGAUGCCAAGAGUCAGAUGCACGCCCACUCUUUUCUCCUAUUCCCUAAGGCUGAAGUCUCAAACUUUAUUGAAUUUAUUAAUAACCUCAGGGACUUGCUAAAAAGCAUUUCCCCAGGCUCUACCUCCAGAGAAUCUGAUUCAGUUAAUUCAGGUUGGCCAGGAAAUCUGCAUGUUAAAUAACAACCCUCCUGCCCCACCUCAUUUCUGAUCUCUAGGAAAUUCCUAUGUAAUUGGUCUGAGAAUCAUACUUUGAGUGACAAUAGCCACAGUGGAGGCACUGGUGUGCCGGUAAAUGUUUAACAACUGGCUCUGGAGGUGGAAAAGCCUGGUUUGUAGCUUGCUGAUUUCUGUGGUAUAAAUAUUCCCACCUUGGUCAACUCAAGCUACAAAUAUGACAUCAUGAUUGUGAAGUUGGGAAAAGGUUUGUGCAAUCAGUUCUGAUAAGCCCAUAGUAACUGAUUUCAGCAUGCCCACUGGGUGGAAGUGGCCGGAUGCCUCCAAAUGCUGGUUCCUAGGCUCUGGCAUAGAAGGGCCACUGUUUGGUCCAGAAUGUCACAUCCCCUAAUUUUUUUUCCCUAAAUCCUUCGUUUUUUGAAUGGUUUGUUUUGGUUACUGGCUCUCGGAGACCUUGAGGGGUUCCAAGCCAGAGAACAAAGAAGGGGAAGAGAAGGAGCUCCAAGAAAGAAAAUGCAAUUAGUGUAGGAUGUUGGCCUCAGCUACGCUGCUAACCUUGUUCAACCCAGCUUUCAGCAGGGAAGGGGUUUCAAACACCUGUCUCUGCCUUCAUUUGAUAAGCUUUCUGGUCAAGUCACAUUAACCUGAUCCUGCUGACCUGGAGAAGGAUGAAAAGGCUGAGUGUCGGGGACCUGAGGGGAUGAAAGUGGAUGGGGGAGGCCUGGGGGGGGGGCUCAUAUGACCUGGGGUCACCAUCGGCUUAAGGCUUCCCCUUUGUCUCCCUGCUCUGGCCCCAUGUUUGAAGGUUCUGGUGAUUUCCUCCCGCCCCCCGACUAGGCGAACAGAUGUGGAAAGAUCUCCAGUUCCCAGGGCUCAGGACACAACUGCCUGUUGUUUCCCGCCUGCAGACCGGGGCCUGCAGUCACAGGCAGAACAGCUACGCAAUCACUUGCCAAAGAGCUGAGCCCAGUCAGGUGUGGGGUGCAAGCCUACUCUGCCUUUUGGGAGUGAGAGGAUGUGUAAGCCUAGCUGAACAAGAAUGGAAAACAACCAUGUUCCCGCCCUGUUGUGCUCUAAGUUCACUGUGUAGGAAUUCAGAGGCACUUUAGCAGAGGCAAUGACUUGAGCUCUUCCACGGCAAUACAAUGCUCACAGGUGCCAUGACCAUUUGAACAAACGCUGCCUUCUGGGCCAGCUGCUUCUCUUGUCCCACACUGCAGGUACUGCCAACGUGAGAACUUUGCCCACUUCUAGACUGGAGUUGAGGGCACCCUGCUACUCUAAAAAGGAUGUUUUCCUCAGCCCACUGAGCUUUCAGGGCUCACUAGAUCAAGGCGGUAGAAGAGUUACAAAGGAAGGGGUGCAAGUGUUAGCUUCCUUAUGUACCUUAUUUAUUCAACACUGAUAGUUUCAGAAAUGGCUUAGAGCCUAGCUUCCUCACCAAUAUCCAUAUACCUUUGACAAGUGGGACAAAUAAAAGCAUAAAAAUAUCUCCCUUAAAUAAAACGCCUUUCUCAUAUCUAGUCCAUCUACAAGAAUAAGCUGAUACCUAAUGAUAUGUUUUCUAGUUUAUGCAAUAAAUGGUGGUGAUUACAAUUUUGCACAAAGACCUGGUACAUAUACGUCUUAGCAUGUAGCACAUUUACCUGUAAAUGCUACAAGUAGCAGAAUGACAGCCAUCUCCCUAAAGCACUGAUUCUCCAAGUGAGGUCUGCAGUCCCCUGGGAUCCCUGAGACCCUAUCAGGGUGUCUGCAAGCUCAAAAUUAUUUUCAUAAUUUUGAUAAUAUUUCAUAAUAAUACCAAGAUGUUAUUUGCCUUCUUCACUGUGUUGACAUCUGGGUAAAAUUGCUGGUGCUAGACUAUGCUGGCAGUCACGGCAUUCUUCACUGCUACAAACUUACAGGGGGAAUAAAUGCCAGUUUCACCAAAGAAUGUCCUAAAUUAGACAGUAAAAAUUAUUAAUUUUAUAAAACCUUGCCCAAAAGGUACUUUUUCUCUCCUCCCCUCCUCUCCCCUCUCUGCCUCCCUUCCCCUUCCCCUUCCCUUUCCUUUCCUUCCCUUCCCUUCCCUUUCUUUUCUUUGUGUGAUGACUUGGAAACAAAGUAUCAAGCAUUUCUGGUGCAUCCUGAAGUAUGAUGGUCAUCUGGAGGAAAAGCACUUGUGUGAGUGUCCUGAGUUGUGAUCUGCACUAGUCACUUUCAUGGAACACAAUGUUUACUCAAAAGGACCAAAUAACCAUAGUUAUUCAGAUUUGGUUAUUUGACAGGCAUUUUCUCAAAAAUGAACAAACUGAGCUCAUCACUUCAAGAAAGACAAUAAUUAACAGUAUUUUCUGCCAAAAUAGAAGUAUAAAGCAAAAAUUAGAAUUUUUAGAAACCUGUAUCUGCCAUAGUGAACUUAACACCUUCCCAACACUUACAGAGGUUUUUGAUGAGAUCAGUGAUAUUAACAAAUAAGAACUUUUAGUUUUCAUCAAGAAAUAUAUCAAAUUUGAAAAAUCUGCAUGACUUAGUGAAGCAAUAUUUUCCAAAUGACCCAUGCAUAUUAUUUCAAAAUCAUGCAUGAGCAAAAGAUCUAUUCAGAGUACAAGCCAGAUAACUGAAUUUUAACAUAACUGAGCACAAAAAGUUCAUUGAUAUAGUUUCAGAUUCCACAUUGCAACUAACCUUAGUAAUCUACUAUUGGUUGAGUUUUGGUAUAAUGUCAAAGAAGAAUAUUCACAAUUAUCUGAAAAGACUAUUAAAAUAUUCCUCCCUUUUCCAACAAAAUAACUACGUGAGGCUGGGUUUCCUUCGCAUACUUUAUCCAAAACAACAUUAUCACAGCUGAUUGAAUGCAGAAGCCGAUAUGAGAAUCCAGCUGUCUUCUAUUAAGCCGGACAGUCAAGAGAUUUGCAAAAAUGUAAAACACUGUCACUCUUCUCACUUGGAUUUUUUAAAAAAGUUAUUUUUAUAAUAAAAUGUUAUUUUUAACGUUUAAAUGGAUUAAUGAAUAUAUGCAUUUUAAUAAAUUACUAAAUGUUAAUUUAUUCAUUAACAAUGAAUAAAUAUUAAAUGAACAAAUAUUAUUUUUGGUUUUAGUUUUUAAUAUGGUAAAUUAUUUAAUUAUCUAUUGCUGUAUAGCAAAGUAUCCUAAAACCUAGUGGCUUAAAACAACAAUAAUCACUUGAGUUGCCAGCCUAAAGAAAUGGGUCCAGCUUCCGGGCAGGGCGUGGUGGCUCACGCCCGUAAUCCUAGCACUUUGGGAGGCCGAGGUGGGCGGACCACAAGGUCAGGAGAUCGAGACCAUCCUGGCUAACAUGGUGAAACCCCGUCUCUACUAAAAAUACAAAAAAUUACCCGGGCAUGGUGGUGGGUGCCUGUGGUCCCAGCUACUCGGGAGGCUGAGGCAGGAGAAUGGCAUGAACCUGGGAGGCAGAGCUUGCAGUGAGCCGAGAUCAUGCCACUGCACUCCAGCACUCCAGCCUGGGCGACAGAGUGAGACUCUGUCUCAAAAAAAAAAAAAAAAAGAAAAGAAAAGAAAGAAAGAAAGAAAGAAAUUGGUUCACCUGGGUGGCUCAUACCUGUAAUCCCAUCACUUUGGGAGGCUGAGGUGAGAUGAUCAUUUGAGGCCAGGAGUUUAAAACAAGCCUGGGCAACAUAGCGAGACCCCAUCUCUAAAAGAAAAAAAAAAAAGCCAGGAAUGGUGGUGCACACCUGUAGUCCUAGCAACUUGAGAGACUGAGGCUGAAAGAUCACUUAAUCCCAGGAGGUUGAGGCUACAGUGAAUUGUGAUUGCACCACUGCACUCCAGCCUGGAUGACAGAGGGAGACCCUAUCUCUCUAAAAAAAAAAAAAAAAAAAAGAAGAAGAAGAAGAAAGGAAGAAAAGAAAUUAUUGGUCCAUAUGUCUGAAAUGUCUUUGCUGUCUAUCUUUGUCCCGUUGCUCAUAGUUAGACCAUCAUUUAGGCAACUUCUUGCUCACUUACCCUCCACAAGCUUGGACACAGGUCCUUCUAGCUCUGUUUCUUCUGAACUUGAGAUUACUGGAGACUCCCUUAUGAGUUUUAACACUCCCCAUAACCUUUGUAUGAUUUGUACAUAGAAAAUACCCCCAAAAUUAAAAAUAAAUUAUUAAACUAAAGGAAAGGUUAGUAAGAUUGCUGGACAUAAAAUUAAUAUUUGAAAAUAAAUUAUAUUCCAAUAAGAUACACAAAUGGCCAACAAGCACAUAAGAAAUAUCUUUAGUAUCACCUGCUCUCUGCAGCUCCCAGGCACACCUCCCCAGGAGCAGAGGUUUUCUGGGCUAGGUCAGGCCCUCCCAUUACCUGCUUUGUAGAAGACAGGGAAGAAAAUCACUCACUGUAUGUAAUUUUAUUUAAGAGAGUGCAAGAAUGUCGUGUUUGAGCCUUUCACUCUUUUUUCUUUGUAUUUCUUAUCGGAAAUGAAAGAAAACAGCCAGUGAGAUAGGAUCUCAGGUCUAGAAUUCCUAGCAGGUAAUUUGGGAGUUGAAAACAAAUCUCCCCUGAAAUGCAUUAAGCAGGUGAAGGGGAUUCCAGUUUCAACUCUGAAACCACACCUUAUCCUGGCCUGGCAAAUAACUUCCUUCCAGCCCCAGGCAAAUCCCAACUUCCACCCGCCAAAUGCCUGCAGUUAAUAAACGUUUAAGCAACAACAAAAACCCCAAGUGGAAAAUGGAAGACUGAUUCGAGGCUGAGAUACUAGAAGGGCUGCCUGGGAGCCCCUCUCUGAGAGCCGCGCCCACAGGAGGAACUUUUAGCCAGGGAAGCCGGGGCCUGGAGCUGGGGAACCCAAGGCAUGAUGUCUUUCAGAGCGUCAGAGCAGGGUAAAUAUCUGAUUUGAGUCAAAUGAUUAUUUUUCUUGAUCAGAUUUGUCCACUUGUUUCAUUGGAACUCCAUACCACUAGCCAUGGUCAAACCCUUCAAAAUGGCCAAAAUCUCCAGACUGCAUUAUUGGGCCACAGUAGGUCCUGCUUCCUGCUAAGUGCUGCAAGACUGGAGUUUCCAAGCUCUGGUCUAGAUAGGUCAGCUGAGGGUUGGUAAGGAAGUUCUCAUGGGUCCAGAGAGAACUAAGAAAAAAAGGAUCAUGUUAUGCUGUGGAAAUGUGCUCCGCGGUAAUUUUUAUUCCCAUUUUACAUAUCAGAAAACAGAGGCUCAGAGACGUUGAAUGACUUGCCACAUAGCUAGUCAGUAGCAGAGCGAGGAUGGAGAUUCACAUGAUCAAUCACAGUGACCACCGUUUGCUGAGCACCUGUAGUGAGACAGGCAAACACCUUGUGCUUUGUGUGUGUUAACUUGUUCAGUUCUCGUGGAUUGCUUCCUUUUUAAAGAAAUGAAACUGUUCAACAGAGCUUCCUGCCAUAAGGGAAAUCUUCUACAUCUCACGUCCAAUAGAUAGCCACAAGCCCCAUGUUGCUAUUCAGCCCUUGAAAUGUGGUAAGUGAAACUGAGGAACAAAAUUUUAAAAUUUUAUUUCACUUAAAUUGAUUUAAAUGUGAACAGCCACAUGUGGCUGGCAGCUCUGGGAGGUUCAGUAGCUUUUCCAAAAGCCAGCGAAGUGAUGAGGUGAGGGUUGUGUUGUGGGGCUGAUUGAGCCCCAAAUCCAUGUGUUUCCCCCUUUCUCUCUGCUCCCCUGUGAGGUGGCCUGCCUUUUCCAAAGUAAAAGACACUGGGAAGGAAACUGACCAGACAGUAUACAGUCAGCCAAAAAUAAAGCCAGACCCCAAAGGUGGGGUCUGUAUUUGAGUCUGCUUCUUCCGAAUGUGUCUGGAAGCCCCCAUGGGUGGCCAAACAGCCCAGCUGGGGGCUUCAGACCCUGCACCAGUAACUUCCCAGAGCCCACCAUGGCCCAUUUGGCUGGGGCUUAUAUGACUCACAGGUUCCAACCCUACAAUUUAAACUGCAGCAUUUCCUUUUUCUGGGCUUAACACUAAUUGGUAGAGGUAGUGAGCUCCCAGGCCCAGCCUCACCCUGUCGAAACAUGUAGCUCUCAACAGUUCCCACUGGAAGCACCACCCAUGAGGUGCAGCUACCAUUGCCAUGUGUCUGAAUGCCAGUGUUUAACCCAAGCUGGCCCAUUGUUGUUCCAUGAGCCUCUCUAUAGCCUCUGAAUGUUCAUCUUU
RNAcentral lists this long non-coding RNA (10175 nucleotides) under Homo sapiens (human). RNAcentral describes it as "non-protein coding lnc-ZFP36L1-9:2". Lineage: Eukaryota; Metazoa; Chordata; Mammalia; Primates; Hominidae. The record is from RNAcentral.